UGUAAGCGUAUACCAAAGUUGUUGCAGUUAAAACGCUCGUAGUCGGAAUUUGGCAGUUCCGGAUGUGUGCACGUCGUGUGCGCACUUCGCGGGGAUUGCUUUUGUGGUCUUGCGUAGGAUGAGGCACUUUUAUUAGUGAACGUCCUCACGCAACCACUUCUUACUGUGAGAAAAUCAGAGUGCUCAAAGCAGGCAUUUGCCGUGAAUGUAUUAGCAUGGAAUAAUAGAAUAGGACUUGGUUCUAUUUUGUUGGUUUGUUGGGACUGAGUAAUGAUUAAGAGGGACAGUUGGGGGCAUUUGUAUUUCGGUGCUAGAGGUGAAAUUCUUAGAUUACCGAAAGACAAACUGCUGCGAAAGCGUCUGCCAAGGAUGUUUUCAUUGA
This 382-nucleotide ribosomal RNA is filed under the name uncultured eukaryote. RNAcentral describes it as "partial 18S ribosomal RNA". It matches the Rfam family "Eukaryotic small subunit ribosomal RNA", at positions 592 to 976 of the family's 1831-position model. The record is from RNAcentral.